This is a long non-coding RNA of Takifugu rubripes (torafugu), 1581 nucleotides long. The record is from Ensembl. NCBI's taxonomy places the organism in Eukaryota, Metazoa, Chordata, Actinopteri, Tetraodontiformes, Tetraodontidae.
GUGAGUCCCCAUCCGGUGAUGUAGCAAAGGUUGUUGUGGGGCAGGAGCUGGCCGGAGGGAGGGAGGGAACCCAGCUGGAUGUAAGAGUUCAGAGUGGCCUCGGUGGACAGACGCAGCAGGGCAAUGUCAUACCCAGCAGCAACAUUGUUGGAGUUCCAUCUGGGGUGGAUGUGCGUCCCCAUCCGGUGAUGUAGCAAAGGUUGUUGUGGGGCAGGAGCUGGCCGGAGGGAGGGAGGGAACCCAGCUGGACGUAAGAGUUCAGAGUGGCCUCGGUGGACAGACGCAGCAGGGCAAUGUCAUACCUGAGUUGGUGAGAAAGCUUACUGUAAAACACUGUUCACAGCAUCUCACACACUAAAUGUCUAAGAACAAGACAAACACUUGUUACCCAGCAGCAACACUGUUGGAGUUCCAUCUGGGGUGGAUGUGCACUUUGCUGACGGCAAUGAUCUGCUCUGUGCCUCCGUUUUUGUAGAGGUCAUGCUCCCCAAGGACAACACGGUAGGUCAUGGGUCUGUCCACACAGUGAGCAGCUGUCAUAACCCAGCCUCUCUUAAUCAGGGUUCCUCCGCAUGUGUGAUAAUAGUUGCUGCCAGAUCUGUACUGAAGAGAGAUGCCAGGGCCAAGAGUUGGGAGAGGCCACUUCACCUCCGACAACCCUCUCAAGGCUAUCCUCGAUGUACCUGGGCUGUGGUCCCAGGUCAGCCAGAACUUGUUAAAAAAGAAAGGAAAACAAAGCUGCAUGAGUUUUAUGUUCCUGCAUCUCCUGUGGUGUUACACAGCAGUGUGUACAGUGUGGUUUUCUUACCCAGGGCUGCAAGGCUUGUCAACACCAGAAACCUCAGCAUGUCUGCACAAUGUCAGAAUGUGUCUGCGAGGAAUCAGACCUUUCCCCCUGCUUUUAUACCUCUCUACAGUGGAAAAUUGAGGCUGUUGUGUCAAGCAUGGGAAACACACCUGUGAUCCGUCUCACAAUGUGUUAUCAGUUGGUCAGCACACACCUCCUACUUUCAAUGUUUAAAAAUGCUGCACAAGGAGCAAAACAAUUAUAACAUAUUUGAUAAAAUCUGUCACAGUUUUCCUUGCUUUGUAUUUGUGGAUGAAAACAUCUUCUUUUCUGGUAAUUUAGGUGGAUAUGUUGAAGAAAGCCUGGGUAAGAUGUACAGGUAGUUUCUUUUCAUACAAAUACUGUGAAUUUUUUCUUUGAGUAAACAUGUUUUUUUUUCCUUGCCAAAAUUCUCCACCUUUAAGUCUUGAGAGAUUUUUGCUUGUUGUGUCUCUCUAACAAAUGGAAAUAAAUACAUACCAAAGAAGUGGCUACCAAUUGAUACAACCAGUCCACUGGAGAUAAGGCACAGAUCCAGUUUAAACCAGUAGCAUGUGGACUGGUUGCUCUCGCAGAAGGACACGUGUGUGUGAUGUGUGUGUUAAGGAAUACAGUCAAUAAACCAGUCUAAAUCAACACAGUUUAAAGAAAAGGUGCACUGCCUGAAGUCUCAAGUUCAAUGAGGGUAAAUUAAUAGUGCCUUAAAAUGGAUCUUUUGAUUUCGUCGCUGUUUAUGAUGAUUGGUUUUAAUUAAA